Molecule: ribosomal RNA, 302 nt
Filed under: Blastocystis sp.
Lineage: Eukaryota; Bigyra; Opalinata; Blastocystidae
Description: SSU rRNA
Rfam family: Eukaryotic small subunit ribosomal RNA
Source: RNAcentral
GAUUAAGCCAUGCAUGUGUAAGUCUAAAUAGUUUUAGUGUGAAACUGCGAAUGGCUCAUUAUAUCAGUUAUAGUUUAUUUGGAAUAGUUUGUAUAUGGAUAACCGUAGUAAUUCUAGGGCUAAUACAUGUGUUUUCUUUGUUGGGUAACCAGUAAAGAAGUACUUAUUAGGCAUAAAACCAAUUGUAUAGAAUGGUGAGUAAUAAUAAUUGUUUGACUUUAUCGCAUGCUUUUUGUAGUAGCGAUGUUCCUUUCAAGUUUCUGCCCUAUCAGCUUUCGAUGGUAGUGUAUUGGACUACCAUG